Non-coding RNA from Dipodomys ordii (Ord's kangaroo rat), 66 nucleotides. The record is from Rfam. Lineage: Eukaryota; Metazoa; Chordata; Mammalia; Rodentia; Heteromyidae.
GGUUGGUUCAGUGGUAGAGUCCUUGCUUUGCAUGCAAGAGGUCCUGGGUUCGAUUCCUCAGCACCA